Long non-coding RNA from Dreissena polymorpha, 1925 nucleotides. RefSeq lists it as uncharacterized. The transcript is spliced from 7 exons. The record is from RefSeq and is a predicted model, not a curated record. Lineage: Eukaryota; Metazoa; Mollusca; Bivalvia; Myida; Dreissenidae.
CUUAGGGAUGUGUGGGUUGAUGAGCAAUUUCUCCUUUUAUCACAAUUAUUUCUACCCUACCUGAUCAUUUCCUUCAUAUUCCAUUUUAAUUUAAUUGACGUCUGCAACCUCUUUCAAAUUGGGAAAGUCCAAAAUGUGUCGUUUUGUAAAGGGUUAAGGCAUUUUGAUUCCUAUGGGUCUUGUGAAUCUGUUUCAAAUCAAAUGCGUAGAUUAGAUCUUCAGCAUCUAAAAAUAUGUGAAAUAGAAAGAACGACAAUAUCUUUUGGAGAGAUAAAUGUACCUACGUUAUAAGCAAAGAACCUGUGCAACAAUUCCUGGGCUUUUAAGUCUGUUUAGUUAACACGGUAGUAAUUUUUUCCAUAUAUAAACAUGCUCACCCUUCCAACUUUAAACCCACAGUGGGACGAGGGAUAGAAAGAGAAAGUCACAUGCUUGAGUACAUUUCAACCCAUGCGCAUUGCACGUUUUUUUUCGCAUAGAAAAAACAGUGGAGCGAUACAGGGCCAUCAUGGCCCUCUUGUUACAUUUUACAUGCAUUGAGUAUUCAAACAUUUACACAAUAUAGCACAUUACUAGAUAAGAUACCCGUUAAAAGACUACUAGCAUAUUUUGCAAAGUUUCAAUCGAUCCUGCAAAUAUCGACCACCUGUGAACAAAGACCACAACAACCACAUCCCUUGAGUGUUUUUUAUUGGCAGGUAAGACUUUAUAUUUAAAUUAUGUAUUAUAGAUUAAACUAUUAAAUUUUAAACUAUUUUCCAGGUUUAACUGGGUACAAAACAUUGUCAUAAUAGUGAGUGCAGAGUACAUUGACAGAGUUACAGCCAUGGUAUACUGUUGCAAAGACAAGGUGAAUGUUGUGCUCGGUAGCAACACCCGACAUAGAUCUAUCCGGGAGGGUGCCCAAGCAUUAUUGCAUGUCCGGCCAGAUGUCGUGGUCAUUCACGAUGUAGUGAGACCAUUUGUUGAUGAAGAAGUUGUCAAGACUAUUGUUAAAAAUGCAUUUGUUCAUGGGGCAGCAGGUGUGACACGCCCUCUGGUUUCCACAGUAAUCCAAGGUGACGAGAACGACAUGUUGACAGCGUCCCUCGACAGGAACCUGUAAUGUGCCAGUGAAAUGCACAGGCUUUCAAGUAUGGCUUUAUCAAGAAGGCCUAUGAAAAGGCUGAUGAGAAUGACCUCGACUUUGGCACAGAGUGUCUAUUCCUGGCCCUCAAACACUGCCAAACCCCGGCAAAAUUGAUUCCUGGACCGGACAGUCUAUGGAAGAUAACAUACAAUGUACAAAAAGAUCUCUACGCAGCUGAAGGCAUUAUGAAAGAGACGGGUAUUUGCGUGUGCGUUCAGUCAGUAACAAGCAAUGCCAGUUAUACUGUCCUGCAGUGUUUGGAAUAUCAUAUCUCAGAAAAAGGCCUCUCCUGCAAACGGGUCAGUGAGGUGUCAUCGCAUUUUAACACCUACGUGUUUGUGCACACAGAACACUCGGACAUUACGAAAAUGCUUGAAAUCAUGUCACAAGAGGUCUGCGACUGCCACAGAAGAAACAAAUAUGAAAUAGUCAAACCAUGUGUGAUACACGUGCAUGCUGGAAAUCUUUUGGAUUCUGAAACGGACAGAGAUUGUCGUGAAACCAUUGCAAAAUUGUCUAAAGACCAGUGUAGCGUGCUUUGGUAUGGAGUCGUUUGCCAGGUACACUAAAAUGUGUGUUGUUAGUUCUGUUUACUUGUAUACGUUUGUAUUUCCCCAUAAAGUUUAACCCUUUACAACUAAGAUACAUAUUUUCUUGCAUUUGAAGUCCAUUAGAACGUUACGUUUAAUUUAAGACCUAUUUUUACUAGAUUCAAGUUUUUAAGGCUUCAUCUCCAAACCUUAGAUACUGAUGAGCAGCAAACAGCUCAACAGACUUUGCUUCUAAAUGGGAAAGG